UAGCCGUAAACGAUACUCGCUAGGUGUCGGCCACGGUGCGACCGUUGUCGGUGCCGUAGGGAAGCCGUGAAGCGAGCCACCUGGGAAGUACGGUCGCAAGGCUGAAACUUAAAGGAAUUGGCGGGGGAGCACUACAACGGGUGGAGCCUGCGGUUUAAUUGGACUCAACGCCGGAAAACUCACCGGGGGCGACAGCAACAUGAAGGCCAGGCUGAAGACUUUGCCGGAUUAGCUGAGAGGAGGUGCAUGGCGUAGUCGUGU
Molecule: ribosomal RNA, 261 nt
Filed under: uncultured archaeon
Lineage: Archaea
Description: partial 16S ribosomal RNA
Rfam family: Archaeal small subunit ribosomal RNA
Source: RNAcentral